CCUACGGGCGGCAGCAGUGAGGAAUAUUGGUCAAUGGACGAGAGUCUGAACCAGCCAAGUAGCGUGAAGGAUGACUGCCCUAUGGGUUGUAAACUUCUUUUAUAUGGGAAUAAAACGUUCCACGUGUGGGAUUUUGUAUGUACCCUAUGAAUAAGGAUCGGCUAACUCCGUGCCAGCAGCCGCGGUAAUACGGAGGAUCCGAGCGUUAUCCGGUUUUAUUGGGUUUAAAGGGAGCGUAGGUGGAUUGUUAAGUCAGUUGUGAAAGUUUGCGGCUCAACCGUAAAAUUGCAGUUGAAACUGGCAGUCUUGAGUACAGUAGAGGUGGGCGGAAUUCGUGGUGUAGCGGUGAAAUGCUUAGAUAUCACGAAGAACUCCGAUUGCGAAGGCAGUUCACUGGACUGCAACUGACACUGAGGCUCGAAAGUGUGGGUAUCAAACAGGAUUAGAUACCCCGGUAGUC
RNAcentral lists this ribosomal RNA (460 nucleotides) under uncultured bacterium. RNAcentral's name for it is "partial 16S ribosomal RNA". It matches the Rfam family "Bacterial small subunit ribosomal RNA", at positions 338 to 795 of the family's 1533-position model. The record is from RNAcentral.